AGGACGAACGCUGGCGGCGUGCUUAACACAUGCAAGUCGAACGGAAAGGCCCUUCGGGGUACUCGAGUGGCGAACGGGUGAGUAACACGUGGGUGAUCUGCCCUGCACUUCGGGAUAAGCCUGGGAAACUGGGUCUAAUACCGGAUAGGACUACGGCCUGCAUGGGUUGUGGUGGAAAGCUUUUGCGGUGUGGGAUGGGCCCGCGGCCUAUCAGCUUGUUGGUGGGGUGAUGGCCUACCAAGGCGACGACGGGUAGCCGGCCUGAGAGGGUGUCCGGCCACACUGGGACUGAGAUACGGCCCAGACUCCUACGGGAGGCAGCAGUGGGGAAUAUUGCACAAUGGGCGCAAGCCUGAUGCAGCGACGCCGCGUGAGGGAUGACGGCCUUCGGGUUGUAAACCUCUUUCAGUAGGGACGAAGCGCAAGUGACGGUACCUAUAGAAGAAGCACCGGCCAACUACGCGCCAGCAGCCGC
RNAcentral lists this ribosomal RNA (475 nucleotides) under uncultured bacterium. RNAcentral's name for it is "SSU rRNA". It matches the Rfam family "Bacterial small subunit ribosomal RNA", at positions 26 to 518 of the family's 1533-position model. The record is from RNAcentral.